Long non-coding RNA from Phyllopteryx taeniolatus (common seadragon), 1420 nucleotides. RefSeq lists it as uncharacterized. The record is from RefSeq and is a predicted model, not a curated record. The transcript is spliced from 3 exons. NCBI's taxonomy places the organism in Eukaryota, Metazoa, Chordata, Actinopteri, Syngnathiformes, Syngnathidae.
AAAUAAAUGCAAGAUUGAUGGAUGAGGAAAAUUAAAGAGAAAGGAGGACAGAGGAGGUGGGAAACUAAAACAGGAGGUAGGACAGAUUAGAAAGGCUCAAGUGAGGGAAGCUCUGUGGAGGCUGUAGAGUGGAAAGUGUGUUGGUCCUGAUAACAAUGGUGUAGGCAUGGAAGUGCCUCGGGGAGAUGGCAGUGGAGUUUUUAACAAUGUUGUUCAACAGGGUCUUAAGAGAAUGUGAAGCUGCAUGAGUAGUGGAGGAAAAGUGUACUUGUGCCAAUUUUUAAGUACAAGCGUGAUGUGCAAAGUGGUAGUGACUACAGAGGAAGAAAGUUGAUGAGCCAUACAAUGAAAACUUUGGAAAAGAGUAGUGGAGGCCAGGUUGAGACAAGAAGUGGAGAUUUUCCCGUAAAAUUAUGGUUGCAGGCGGCACGGUGGCCGACUGGUUAGAGCGUCAGCCUCAGUUCUGAGGACCCGGUUUCAAUCCCCGGCCCCGCCUGUGCGGAGUUUGCACGUUUUCCCCUCCGUGCCUGCGUGGGUUUUCUCCGGGCACUCCGGUUUCCUCCCACAUCCCAAAAACAUGCAUUAAUUGGAGACUCUAAAUUGCCCGUAGGCAUGACUGUGAGUGCGAAUGGUUGUUUGUUUCUAUGUGCCCUGCGAUUGGCUGGCAACCAGUUCAGGGUGUACCCCGCCUCCUGCCCGAUGACAGCUGGGAUAGGCUCAGAAAAUGGAUGGAUGGAUGGAGAAAUGACAGAUUAGGUUGGACUAAACUGAAAGGUUUUGGAGACAAAACAUUAGAGGCUAGAUUGGCAUUGUGUUAACUUGGCAUAGGAAAAGGUAAAUAUGUUAUACGUUUCAACACUUUAAUAUUGUACAUUGUAUAAAUAACAGGUUUACAGAAGAUGGUCCCAUUAUCACUAUAAAACAUGGAACCUUCGCUUUUGUGAGGUGGUCUCUAUUCAGAAGUGUGGUUUGUUUGUUGUCCUCUUUCAUCAGGCAGCAUGGAUUAUGAAAGUAGCCCACACAGUCCAGAAGAAGAGCCCCAUAAGUGUGAUCAGAAGUCAACAAGUCAGAAGAGUUUCAGGAGGCUCCACAGGCUCGCAAAGUACUUUGUGAGAUUGCUGCAAGAGGCUGAAGACGGCUGUCAGACUGCCGGAGGUGGGACAAAUGGAUGUCCAGAACAUCAGAGUAUCAGCGCCACCUGAAAAGCAUCAACGGGCCCAUUGAUGUUGUAUUUCUUAACAAAAGCUCCAUCACCUCAGUCCCUGUCAUGCUGCCCUUCCCACACCACAUGUUGACAUUUUACACAGAGCCAAGUACUCCACUUCAGGUCGGACAAAAUACAUAUUGCACACAUGCUCUUCGGCCAUAUGAUAUCUUCCCUCUUAUUUUCAGUGCAAGGUGUAUCAAAAGCAGCAGUCGA